RNAcentral lists this non-coding RNA (401 nucleotides) under Neodeightonia subglobosa. RNAcentral's name for it is "partial 18S ribosomal RNA". The stretch from base 53 to 332 matches the Rfam family "Group I catalytic intron". Rfam says of the family: Group I catalytic introns are large self-splicing ribozymes. They catalyse their own excision from mRNA, tRNA and rRNA precursors in a wide range of organisms. The core secondary structure consists of 9 paired regions (P1-P9). Lineage: Eukaryota; Fungi; Ascomycota; Dothideomycetes; Botryosphaeriales; Botryosphaeriaceae. The record is from RNAcentral.
CGAAGCCUUGAAUUGCGCCCUCGCAAGGGGGAGAUGCCCAGCGACUGUAAACAAGUGGGACUCGCAAGUCGGACGCCCAAAGCGGGCGGACGGCGACACUUUCGAAUUGCGGGGACAUCCUGAGAGCUCUGCCUACCAACUCGGCGAGGAAACUCGCCGGGGGCCCGUGUUAACAGCACGGGGUGCGGUAAAAACGGUAGAGAUUGGACAAUCCGCAGCCAAGCCCCUACGUCCAGCCGGAUACGGGGAAGGUUCACAGACUAAGUGGAAGUGGGUGCGGCCGGAAACCGGCCGCGCUUAAGAUAUAGUCGGGCCCUUGGUGAAAGCCAAGGGGUAAGUCACUGCAAAGACAAGUUUUGACGCUUAACCGUUCCGUAGGUGAACCUGCGGAAGGAUCAUUA